UUCUCGACAAGAUUUUUCGAAGAUUUGACCUAGUGACCUAAUUUUCAAUCAUAUGUGACCCAGUUUUAUUCACGACCAAGAGUUCAUCAAGGAAAACAUUCUGAUUAAGUUUCAUGAAUAUUUGACCAUGCUUCAUGCCUCUAGUAGCAAUAACAACGUAACGCCGUUUUUUACACUUCCCUAUUCUGCACAAUGCUAAUAACACUCCUCGCUCCAAUGGAUAUUACUCCUGCAAACAUUUAUACUUACUGCCGAAAAUGGUACCAAAAUAAUCAUGAAUAAAUUAUCUAUCAACUGUAGUACGGGUUUUAUCUAAUUUUGUGAAACAGAAUAAAACGAGCAAAAAGUUUCACAAGCAUUUUUUGUAAUAUGUCGUUUUUCUGCCGGUCUUGGGACGUUUUGACUGUCAUUUUAUACUUUCGAUUUCGGAUAUUUUAAGAAUUGUUUUGAUUGUCAAUGACUUUACAAGGAUACAUUGACGUCUCCUGCAUCGUGAGAAAUAAAGCCAUAGAAUACAUUCAUACCACUCAAAUUCAGCCAGUCAGAAUGAUGGGAAGGAUUGCAGAACUGAGUUUCACUCUCACCUGACUGAUGCAGAUUCAGUAACCUAAUUGCUCAUGAUGGUUUCUGAGAAAAAAACCCAGCUUGGUGUAAUUUGACAGUAUUUUUCAGUAUUUGACAGUGGUUCUAUCAUGCAACAGUCAUACCAUGAAGUGUCUCACAGAUUCUCUCUCAAUUCCUGCAAUAUCCAAGAUUACAGUGUUGUGCAAAGAGGAUUAAUUUUCUUGCAAUAAGAAGUAUCUGCACUUCCAAAUACCCCUGUACAGCAUGAACAGUUCCUUCAUUUUUUGAGUGAUUAUAGAGUGAAAAUGUUUCCAUAUAAAAUGUUUUCUUUUUAUGUGUAAAACUUGUUAUGAAUGGUUACAAAUACAUGCAUGGACAUUAUGAUUCCAAAUCUAUGCACAUUUUGAUUCCAAUAAUUAAAGUAUUUUAAAUUUGGUUUGAAACAGAAAUAUUGUCCUUAUGUUUGUUUCUAAACAUUAUCUGGUAUUAUUCGUGUUUAUAGUUUCCAUGUCAAUUUUAAAAAAAAGUCGUAGAAAAAAGUUCUUUUAAAGAUGCACUCUUACUCCCACAUAAGAUUUACCACAAUUAAUACUUUUGUUUUAUUAUUCCAAAAAGGAUGAAUAUAUGUUGAAAACAAUGGUUCUAAUGAAGGAUGCCUACUUCUACUUGAAGGAAAUGUGCAUAAAAGACAGUAUUUCUACCAUUUGAGAUCAUAGUAGAUCACAGUAAAUCUUUAUGCAUUCACCAAUCAUUUAAUAUCUUUGCUUUUUCAGUUUAAAUACACGGUUACAAUAUUUUUAUCAAUACUUAAUAUUUUCCAAAAAUGAAUUAUUAAGUAAGUUGUUAAAGGGUUAACAGUCAAAGUAUAUGUUUGUUAUACAUUUGUAUGCAUUGAUACUGAAUAAGAGUGUCACUUUAAACAGUUGCCAUGGUAACUAUAGUCUAGUUUUCUUAAGAAACUGUAAUUGUUGUCUAAAAACCUUUGUAUUUUCAAUGUGAUACUUUUUAGCAUGUCCGCUUCAGUCAAUGAAAUAUUUCUGUUAUUUGUUAAUCAUUUGGUCAUACUUUGUAUACAAUUAUAUUUAUAAUUUAACCUUGAAAAUUGCUGACAAUCUCAUACUUAUAUUGAAAUAUUCAGAAUUGCUAGAUGGGUUGAAAUUCACCUUUAUUACAACUGUCAGGCAAAUCAUGGCAAGAUGUACAUAAUUCUCCUUUUUAACAAAAAGCGAUGUUUAAAGCAUUUUUUGUAUUUUUAUUGAAUGGUUACCAUGGCAACUAAUUUUUUGUUUACCUUUAAUCUUCCUAUUUAUAAUACUAUUAAUUGUAAAAAUGCAACAGUCAAGCAGUGAAUGGAAGAAUGUAAAUGUUCAUUGUCUUUUACCCUUUUCAAGCUCAUUCUUCAAAAUAUAAAGGAAUUUUAAAAUUUCUUAAAAAUGGACGUUUUUUCAUCAUUUUUUUAAAAGUAAAAUAAUUUGCUUAAAACUUUGUUUAGGUUUUGAUAUUUAGGAAUGUGUAUUAAAUUUAUAGAAAAUAAACAAAAUGUGUUGUUUGACAUUAUUUAUUUCAUUUAAAUUCCGAAGUUUUGAAUUUGACCUAUUUUGGCAGAAAAAAUUGAUAAAAAUGUAAAAUUAAAAGGGCCAUAAUUCUGUCAAAAAUUGAUGGAUUUUGAAAAAAUGUGCAUAUUUGAGUUUGUAAUGACGUAACCUUUAAAAUGAUAUAUCACUUUAAUAUACCGCAUUAAAUUAAUUUUUUACGUUGUUAUUGCUACCUCUAGUAUGUUCCAUUUUUUUCCCUAAGAUU
Mya arenaria is the source of this 2364-nucleotide long non-coding RNA. RefSeq lists it as uncharacterized. Lineage: Eukaryota; Metazoa; Mollusca; Bivalvia; Myida; Myidae. The record is from RefSeq and is a predicted model, not a curated record. The transcript is spliced from 4 exons.